This 67-nucleotide transfer RNA is filed under the name Eutropis multifasciata (many-lined sun skink). Its description in RNAcentral is "tRNA-Lys". The record is from RNAcentral. Lineage: Eukaryota; Metazoa; Chordata; Lepidosauria; Squamata; Scincidae.
CAUUAAGAAGCUUUUACAGCAUUAGCCUUUUAAGCUAAAGAGGGGGACCAGUAAUCCCCCUUAAUGA